CCUACGGGAGGCAGCAGUGAGAAAUAUUGGACAAUGGAGGCAACUCUGAUCCAGCCAUGCCGCGUGCAGGAAGACGGCCCUAUGGGUUGUAAACUGCUUUUAUACAGGAAGAAACGUUAGUACGUGUACUAGCCUGACGGUACUGUAAGAAUAAGGAUCGGCUAACUCCGUGCCAGCAGCCGCGGUAAUACGGAGGAUCCAAGCGUUAUCCGGAAUCAUUGGGUUUAAAGGGUCCGUAGGUGGAUAAUUAAGUCAGAGGUGAAAUCCUGCAGCUCAACUGUAGAAUUGCCUUUGAUACUGGUUGUCUUGAGUUAUUGUGAAGUGGUUAGAAUAUGUAGUGUAGCGGUGAAAUGCAUAGAUAUUACAUAGAAUACCAAUUGCGAAGGCAGAUCACUAACAAUACACUGACACUGAUGGACGAAAGCGUGGGUAGCGAACGGGAUUAGAUACCCCGGUAGUCCACGCCGUAAACGAUGGUCACUAGCUGUUCGGAGUAAUCUGAGUGGCUAANCGAAAGUGAUAAGUGACCCACCUGGGGAGUACGUUCGCAAGAAUGAAACUCANAGGAAUUGACGG
Molecule: ribosomal RNA, 576 nt
Filed under: uncultured bacterium
Lineage: Bacteria
Description: bacterial SSU rRNA
Rfam family: Bacterial small subunit ribosomal RNA
Source: RNAcentral